UAUACAUGCAAGUCGAACGAAGUAGCAAUACUUAGUGGCAGACGGGUGAGUAACAUGUAGGUAUCUUCCCUUUGGUGAGGAAUAACACGAGGAAACUUGUGCUAAUACCUCAUAAGUCUUUACGGAGAAAGCUUUAUGCGCCGAAGGAUGAGCCUGCACUUGAUUAGUUUGUUGGUGGGGUAAUGGCCUACCAAGACUUUGAUCUAUAGCUGAUCUGAGAGGAUGAUCAGCCACAUUGGGACUGAGACACGGCCCAAACUCCUACGGGAGGCAGCAGUAGGGAAUAUUGCACAAUGGAGGAAACUCUGAUGCAGCGAUGCCGCGUGAGUGAAGAAGGCCCUUGGGUUGUAAAGCUCUUUCGUCGGGGAAGAAAAUGACUGUACCCGAAUAAGAAGGUCCGGCUAACUUCGUGCCAGCAGCCGCGGUAAUACGAAGGGACCUAGCGUAGUUCGGAAUUACUGGGCUUAAAGAGUUCGUAGGUGGUUAAAAAAGUUGGUGGUGAAAUCCCAGAGCUUAACUCUGGAACUGCCAUCAAAACUUUUUAGCUAGAGUAUGAUAGAGGAAAGCAGAAUUUCUAGUGUAGAGGUGAAAUUCGUAGAUAUUAGAAAGAAUACCAAUUGCGAAGGCAGCUUUCUGGAUCAUUACUGACGCUGAGGAACGAAAGCAUGGGUAGCGAAGAGGAUUAGAUACCCUCGUAGUCCAUGCCGUAAACGAUGUGUGUUAGACGUUGGAAAUUUAUUUUCAGUGUCGCAGCGAAAGCAUUAAACACACCGCCUGGGGAGUACGAC
This 788-nucleotide ribosomal RNA is filed under the name uncultured Pelagibacteraceae bacterium. Its description in RNAcentral is "bacterial SSU rRNA". It matches the Rfam family "Bacterial small subunit ribosomal RNA", at positions 50 to 886 of the family's 1533-position model. Lineage: Bacteria; Pseudomonadati; Pseudomonadota; Alphaproteobacteria; Candidatus Pelagibacterales; Candidatus Pelagibacteraceae. The record is from RNAcentral.